UGAAAGGGAAACAAUACUCCCAAAAUCAUUCCUGGAGAUAUCACAGACAAAAAUAAGUAAGAGUACAUAGAUGAACAAACAACACAACAGGAGUCUCAAGAUGAGAGCUUCAUGACAAAAUGCCAGAGGGCUCUAGCAAAGCUGCCCCCAGCAAAAAGAACAGGACGACAUGCCUAAAAUAGAUGUUGCAGUAGCGUCAUGCUGUUUGGAAAUGUGGAGACAGACAACAAAAGGAACAGAUUUUAUAUAGAUGACAAAGACUUUGAAGUCAAAGGAGACUCACAUUCACAGUGCAAGUUCCCUAACAGAUCACAUCAACCAAAGGAAAAGCACUAGUGAAAGCCAAGAUGCAACUCCAGAUGCUUCAAAGCUUGUGUUCUACUUGUGACCAAGGACUCAGCCAAGCAUGGAACCCAGGUUAGAAUUCCUCUUCAUAUCAUAUGAGAACAAAACAGAACAGCCUAGAACACAGUAAGUACUGUGAAUACUCAAACUCGUAACCGCCUACA
Long non-coding RNA from Fukomys damarensis (Damara mole-rat), 509 nucleotides. RefSeq lists it as uncharacterized. The record is from RefSeq and is a predicted model, not a curated record. NCBI's taxonomy places the organism in Eukaryota, Metazoa, Chordata, Mammalia, Rodentia, Bathyergidae. The transcript has 6 exons.